AUUGAACGCUGGCGGCAUGCUUUACACAUGCAAGUCGAACGGUAACAGGCCGCAAGGUGCUGACGAGUGGCGAACGGGUGAGUAAUGCAUCGGAACGUGCCCAGUCGUGGGGGAUAACGCAGCGAAAGCUGUGCUAAUACCGCAUACGGUCUAUGGAUGAAAGCGGGGGACCGUAAGGCCUCGCGCGAUUGGAGCGGCCGAUGUCAGGUUAGGUAGUUGGUGGGGGAAAGGCCCACCAAGCCAACGAUCUGUAGCUGGUCUGAGAGGAAGACCGGCCACACUGGGACUGAGACACGGCCCAGACUCCUACGGGAGGCAGCAGUGGGGAAUUUUGGACAAUGGGCGCAAGCCUGAUCCAGCAAUGCCGGGUGCAGGAAGAAGGCCUUCGGGUUGUAAACUGCUUUUGUACGGAACGAAACGGCGAGCUCUAAUACAGUUUGCUAAUGACGGUACCGUAAGAAUAAGCACCGGCUAACUACGUGCCAGCCGCCGCAGUAA
RNAcentral lists this ribosomal RNA (498 nucleotides) under uncultured bacterium. RNAcentral's name for it is "partial 16S ribosomal RNA". It matches the Rfam family "Bacterial small subunit ribosomal RNA", at positions 29 to 523 of the family's 1533-position model. The record is from RNAcentral.